GUGUCAGCCGCCGCGGUAAUACAGAGGGUGCAAGCGUUGUUCGGAAUUACUGGGCGUAAAGCGCGCGCAGGCGGAUCCUGUAAGUCUGGAGUGAAAUUUCACCGCUCAACGGUGAAGCUGCUUUGGAUACUGCGGAUCUGGAGACCGGUAGAGGCUGGUAGAAUUGCAGGUGUAGCGGUGGAAUGCGUAGAGAUCUGCAAGAAUACCCGUGGCGAAGGCGGCCAGCUGGGCCGGUUCUGACGCUGAGGCGCGAAAGCGUGGGGAGCAAACAGGAUUAGAUACCCUCGUAGUCC
Molecule: ribosomal RNA, 293 nt
Filed under: uncultured bacterium
Lineage: Bacteria
Description: partial 16S ribosomal RNA
Rfam family: Bacterial small subunit ribosomal RNA
Source: RNAcentral